GAAAUGGAUCGGGCAAUCGCGGUAUAUUUUAGAUAUAUCGAGGAAAGUCCGGGCUCCACAGGAUAGGGUGCCAGGUAACGCCUGGGCAGUUAUAGACUGACGGCCAGUGCCACAGAGAAUAUACCGCCUGCUGAUAGCGAUGUUUGCAUCGCUGUCACUGGGUAAGGGUGAAAAGGUGCGGUAAGAGCGCACCGCGCUUUUGGCAACAAAAGUGGCAAGGUAAACCCCACCUGGAGCAAGACCAAAUAGGAAAACAGCCACAUUAACAGGCUGAUGUUUGUUAAUGCGGCAGAUGUGAUCCGCAUCGUUUUCGGGUAGGUUGCUAGAGAUCAGUGGUGACGCUAAUCCCAGAUGAAUGAUUGCCUCGUCCGGCUUGCCGGAUAGACAGAACCCGGCUUACAGAUCCAUUUCCUUU
Molecule: RNase P RNA, 415 nt
Filed under: Candidatus Venteria ishoeyi
Lineage: Bacteria; Pseudomonadati; Pseudomonadota; Gammaproteobacteria; Thiotrichales; Thiotrichaceae
Description: RNase P RNA component class A
Rfam family: Bacterial RNase P class A
About the family: Ribonuclease P (RNase P) is a ubiquitous endoribonuclease, found in archaea, bacteria and eukarya as well as chloroplasts and mitochondria.
Source: RNAcentral